UUGCUUUGAUAGGCUGAAGCCAGGCUUGCGGCAAAGCGAGCAGCACGCGUUGAAGCUCGGGAAAUCCGAAUGAAGGAGCUUGAGCGGCAGCAGAAAGAGAUCUAUCAAGUUCAAAAGAAAUAUUGUGGUCUGGAGGCAAAGUUUGGUGACAUCGAGCAGUGGAUGGAAGACACUGAGCGUUACAACCGUAAAUCGAGAAGAUAUACUUCGGUUUCAGAUGAAGAUGAGCGUAUGUCAGUGGGUAGUCGUGGAAGCCUAAGGGUUAGUAGCAAGUAAUUGUACCUGCAUAACUAUUCCUACCAUUAUAUGAAUGG
Long non-coding RNA from Heteronotia binoei (common prickly gecko), 314 nucleotides. RefSeq lists it as uncharacterized. Lineage: Eukaryota; Metazoa; Chordata; Lepidosauria; Squamata; Gekkonidae. The transcript is spliced from 5 exons. The record is from RefSeq and is a predicted model, not a curated record.